GCUGCAUUUAUCACAUCACGGAGAUCCGACAGUCGUCCUCCCACUGCUGGGAGGUUGUUGUUGUCUCUCACUCGCAGCAGGAGCGCCGGUGUUUUUUCCUCAGGUGUGAUCAUUGUCGGACUAUCUGAGACGAGCCAGAACUCCCCCCGGCUGAGUGUCAGUAGGAUCCCAGCAGAUGGCUGGUCAAAGCUCUACUACGUUAGCGACAAGGAUAACAGGGAUGUGAAGACGUGAAGGACAAACUCGUCAUCCUGAGUGUUCCUGACGAUACAGCGAUGCCCUUUCCUCUGUAAACAACAACAGACCAACCGACUCA
Molecule: long non-coding RNA, 316 nt
Organism: Xiphias gladius (swordfish)
Lineage: Eukaryota; Metazoa; Chordata; Actinopteri; Istiophoriformes; Xiphiidae
Exons: 3
Source: RefSeq, a predicted model, not a curated record